This 359-nucleotide long non-coding RNA is filed under the name Capsicum annuum. Its description in RNAcentral is "long non-coding RNA (CANN_LNC002524)". Lineage: Eukaryota; Viridiplantae; Streptophyta; Magnoliopsida; Solanales; Solanaceae. The record is from RNAcentral.
GGGGGGGUAAGAUGUACGCAGUCCAUACCUCUACCUCUGAUGAAGUAGAAAGGCUGUUUCCGAAAGACCCCCGGCUCAAGGCACAAGAUAUCACACAAACACAUAGUAAAGCACAGAAGCAGAUGACAUAACAUAAAUACGACACCCAUAAGGAAUAUAAAACAGCGGAAAGCAGAGGAAAGCACACAGAUUCGUAAUAAGCAUGGAACACUGAAUACAGAAUCAUAACGGGAAUAAAAAAUAAAAAACCUGCACUAGCGACCCGCACUGGCCCUAAUCCUCUGCCGUAAUUCGCGUCUUCCAGACCUUCCUAUCUAGGGUCAUGUCCUCGGUGAGCUGUAACUGUUCCAUGUCCCGCC